RNAcentral lists this ribosomal RNA (483 nucleotides) under uncultured bacterium. RNAcentral describes it as "partial 16S ribosomal RNA". It matches the Rfam family "Bacterial small subunit ribosomal RNA", at positions 28 to 523 of the family's 1533-position model. The record is from RNAcentral.
GACGAACGCUGGCGGCGUGCUUAACACAUGCAAGUCGAACGAUGAAGCUGGAGCUUGCUCCGGUGGAUUAGUGGCGAACGGGUGAGUAACACGUGAGCAAUCUGCCCUUGACUCUGGGAUAACUGCGGGAAACUGUAGCUAAUACCGGAUACGAGGCUCGACGGCAUCUUCGGGUCUGGAAAGAAUUUCGGUCAAGGAUGAGCUCGCGGCCUAUCAGCUUGUUGGUGCGGUAAUGGCCCACCAAGGCGACGACGGGUAGCCGGCCUGAGAGGGUGACCGGCCACACUGGGACUGAGACACGGCCCAGACUCCUACGGGAGGCAGCAGUGGGGAAUAUUGCACAAUGGGCGAAAGCCUGAUGCAGCAACGCCGCGUGAGGGAUGAAGGCCUUCGGGUUGUAAACCUCUUUUAGCAGGGAAGAAGCGAAAGUGACGGUACCUGCAGAAAAAGCACCGGCUAACUACGUGCCAGCAGCCGCCGCGG